GUGAAUUUUCAGCUGCACAGGGGAUAUGUGCCUCUAACUCCCACAUUGGUCAAGGGUCAACUAUAAAAGAGUUUUAAAGAAUCUUAAAGUCUUUGUCCCAUAGCACCCCAAUCCAUAGCCCAAAGCAGAAAAGGACCUAUCUCAAAGAGACUUGUGGAUAUAGCUUUUGUCUAAUAGAAUAAAUUACAAUUACAUAUGUACAAAGCCCACAGAAUUGUCAAGAGGCUUGUUCUCAUGAAAGCAUGGCCAGCUUGAAAUAAGAAGGACCAAGAAAUUUUGAAAUAAAAAGUCUCUAAGCCACCAUUUUAAGCUGGGUGUCUAGGGAAACAGAUAACGUGUCUUUUGAGCUCACAGGUCUCCAGAUUGAGAGGAGUGAUGAACAAGGAGCCUCAUUUGCAACUGGACCUGAUGGAGAUCACAAGAGACUGGCCUUCAAGCUUCAUACCAUAAUUGGAAGACACUAUGGUGGUGUCUUGGUGUGAAAUAAAUAUAUUUUGUGUGCUGCAAGUAAGAAUUGUGGCCAGAAGGAGGAACACGGUACAUUGUCUGCGCCCAUGGCCAGGAACAAUUGCUCCCAUCCCUGUACCCACAUACCAGUUCUCUAUCAAAAGGUGGAGUCUAUUCUUCUCCCUCUCCUUGAAUCAAUCUGCACUAGCACUGGCUUCUUUUAACCAAUGGAUAUUGUGGAAGUGAUGAUAUGUGACUUCUGGGCAUGGACCUUAAGAAGACUUGCAGCUUCUAUUUUUGCAUUCUUGGAAUCCAGCUGCCAUGUAAAUAAGCCUGGGCUGGGAUACUGGAUGACAGGAGACCAUAUGGAGAGAGCUUGAGCCAGCCCCCAGCUGUUUCAGCCACCCCUGUCAAAGCACCAAAUGUGCAAACGAAGUCAUCUUGGAUAUUCCAACUAAGCUUCCAGCCCCCACCCUACUGCCUACAUUUUUGGACCCCAUAGGAGGAAAGGGGGCAAGAACUGUCAGAAGGAAGAAGGCCUAUGAAAAUCAGCGUUUUCCAAAGUGCUCAAGUACUUUACUUCGAUCCCAAAUCAGUUCUCUUGAGGAGGUGCUUAUUUCUGUGGCCUGGAAACAAGGAGACAGAAGCAUGAGCAUCUUCUGCAACACAAAGGUAACCGAGCU
Molecule: long non-coding RNA, 1130 nt
Organism: Cercocebus atys (sooty mangabey)
Lineage: Eukaryota; Metazoa; Chordata; Mammalia; Primates; Cercopithecidae
Exons: 3
Source: RefSeq, a predicted model, not a curated record